Molecule: long non-coding RNA, 773 nt
Filed under: Homo sapiens (human)
Lineage: Eukaryota; Metazoa; Chordata; Mammalia; Primates; Hominidae
Description: non-protein coding lnc-SLC39A11-1:10
Source: RNAcentral
UGUGAACCUGCAAACCCAAGUCUGAGAGACGAUCCGCCUUCAGCGCUUUCCAGCUUGGCAGAGAGGCUUUCCCGGCGGGGAUCUUUGGUUGGCGCUGGCGAUGCGCGGGGAAGAAAGGCGAGGAGCGGCGUCCAGGCUGGGUGAUGUCCCAGCACGAGUAGGCGGGAUGCGCUCGCUUGGUCCUCCGGGCGCCCGGUCCCUGCCCGCGUCGCGCGCCCACCCCUGGGGACGAGAAGGCGGCCGCCUGAGGACCCCCGCCCGCGACCUCCGCGAGUCUGGAGCGCAGAGGACAGGGUCUGGCUGCUCUUUGGCCUUGGAUGGAAAGUGGGGAAUUGGGUGGGGGGCUGCGGACCCCUUAACGUGGAUUACUUGGUGUGUAUCAGCUGGGCUCAGAAGACCCACGACCUCUUCUCCAUCCGUGGAUUGAUUUGUUCUGCUUAACAGCUGGGUCGCCAAGCUGGAGGUGGAAUCAGAGGUUUCUGGCUGACUCGGUGGGUGCUUUGAACCAGGAAAGGACAAGAAAGAGGUGCCACCUCCUGAGUCCUGGUUCCUGCGGCUCCGUCGAAUCUGCAGUGAAGGCCUUUGGGAAGCGUGGGUUAUGUGGGUCCAGGGGUCCCAUCCUCCCGUGGAGGCCCUUGACCUGAGGAUCACUAACUCACACCCCACCGACUUCCGGCCCCCAACAAGGGCAGUGUUCCUCUUGCUCCAUUCUGCUCUGAAGUCCCCCAAACCGCUUCCUGGGGCUGCUUAGUGAAAUACAAGGCUCAUCUCUG